AUUGCUUCUGUGGACGGGUGUCUUUUAUACAGGUAACAAGCUGAGAUUAGGAUCACUCCCUUUAAGAGAGUGCUCAUAAUCUCAGCUUGUUACCUGUUUAAAAGACACCUGGAAGCCAGAAA
Molecule: non-coding RNA, 122 nt
Organism: Pelobates cultripes (western spadefoot toad)
Lineage: Eukaryota; Metazoa; Chordata; Amphibia; Anura; Pelobatidae
Source: the annotation of a GenBank genome assembly